Molecule: ribosomal RNA, 257 nt
Filed under: uncultured bacterium
Lineage: Bacteria
Description: partial 16S ribosomal RNA
Rfam family: Bacterial small subunit ribosomal RNA
Source: RNAcentral
UACGUAGGGGGGCGAGCGUUGUCCGGAUUUAUUGGGCGUAAAACGCUUGUAGGUGGCUACGUCAAGUCGGACGUGAAAUCUCCCCGGCUUAACUGGGAGGGGUCGCUCGAUACUGGCGAGCUCGAGGCAGGUAGGGGGAAGCGGAAUUCCCGGUGUAGUGGUGGAAUGCGUAGAUAUCGGGAGGAACACCAGUGGCGAAGGCGGCUUCCUGGACCUGUUCUGACACUGAGGAGCGAAAGCGUGGGGAGCGGAUCCGG